Molecule: non-coding RNA, 292 nt
Organism: Anaerolineaceae bacterium 4572_78
Lineage: Bacteria; Bacillati; Chloroflexota; Anaerolineae; Anaerolineales; Anaerolineaceae
Source: Rfam
GUCAGCGACCCUCGGCUAGAAGUCGGGGGCUUGUAAGAACAAUUCUACAAGCUCCAAGUUGACCAGACUAAGUCUUUAGUGUUGUGUAGGGGCGGUGCCAAGAGCCCACCCUGCCUGAUGAGCAUAAGGUUAUAUCCUGCCAUUGAAGACUAUGUUAUGAGUGAAUAUAUAGGCACCAUGGGAUGAUUCUCCAGUCCCAUAUUCUGCGGUCAGUGUUAAACAGGUUUAAAGGGGUUAAGCCAGUACUUCUGAUAUGUAAACCACUCUAUAAUAUUAUUGAGGAGAUAUUUAC